UUUAAACUUUACAAGAAAUUCUCGUGUUUGUAAAUUUAAUUCAGAAUUUAACCUCGAAUUUAAUGUGAUACUUGGUGUUUGUAUGUAAUUUUGUAUACUCGUUUAUACAAGUAAAGUUUGUAUGACAAUAACAAGUAAUAUUAACUACACUAAUGCAUUGUCUGCCUUAACUUCUUGAGAGGAAGUAAACUUUACUUAUGCGAGCAAAUCUGGCAACACUCUCCAAACUCGGUGGGUGACGUCACAGGGAGUUUGCGCUCCAAACAAACCAGGACUUUUUGAAUGGCGGCUGAGUUUGAGAGGGACAUACAGACAACUGUUUGAAUUUUUUUAAUAGGACAAUUGUGACUGUGGCUGCGAAGAUCAUUCUAAGAAAUUGACUUGAUCAGCAAGUUGGUCUUAACAGCUGGUGCAGGGUGCUCACAACAUGAGAUGGAUGUGUAAAACAUUAGAGAUGGAAAGAAUGGACUUGCUCAAGGAAAUAAUGAAGAAAAACAAUGACAAGAUAAUUCGUCAAAAAAUUGAGAAAUCCUUCUCCUAUCGAAGACUAGAAGUGGCCAAGCAAUGCUCUGCUGUCCAAGACUUCAUUG
This is a long non-coding RNA of Monopterus albus (swamp eel), 590 nucleotides long. RefSeq lists it as uncharacterized. The transcript has 3 exons. NCBI's taxonomy places the organism in Eukaryota, Metazoa, Chordata, Actinopteri, Synbranchiformes, Synbranchidae. The record is from RefSeq and is a predicted model, not a curated record.